Molecule: ribosomal RNA, 847 nt
Filed under: Corynebacterium amycolatum
Lineage: Bacteria; Bacillati; Actinomycetota; Actinomycetes; Mycobacteriales; Corynebacteriaceae
Description: bacterial SSU rRNA
Rfam family: Bacterial small subunit ribosomal RNA
Source: RNAcentral
GAGUAACGUGUCGGAUACUGGGCGUAAGAACUCGUAGGUGGUUUGUCGCGUCGUCUGUGAAUUCCGGGGCUUAACUCCGGGCGUGCAGGCGAUACGGGCAUAACUUGAGUACUGUAGGGGAGACUGGAAUUCCUGGUGUAGCGGUGAAAUGCGCAGAUAUCAGGAGGAACACCGGUGGCGAAGGCGGGUCUCUGGGCAGUAACUGACGCUGAGGAGCGAAAGCAUGGGGAGCGAACAGGAUUAGAUACCCUGGUAGUCCAUGCCGUAAACGGUGGGCGCUAGGUGUGGGUUUCCUUCCACGGGAUCCGUGCCGUAGCUAACGCAUUAAGCGCCCCGCCUGGGGAGUACGGCCGCAAGGCUAAAACUCAAAGGAAUUGACGGGGGCCCGCACAAGCGGCGGAGCAUGUGGAUUAAUUCGAUGCAACGCGAAGAACCUUACCUGGGCUUGACAUAUACAGGAUCGCGCCAGAGAUGGUGUUUCCCUUGUGGCUUGUAUACAGGUGGUGCAUGGUUGUCGUCAGCUCGUGUCGUGAGAUGUUGGGUUAAGUCCCGCAACGAGCGCAACCCUUGUCUUAUGUUGCCAGCACGUUGUGGUGGGGACUCGUAAGAAACUGCCGGGGUUAACUCGGAGGAAGGUGGGGAUGACGUCAAAUCAUCAUGCCCCUUAUGUCCAGGGCUUCACACAUGCUACAAUGGUCGGUACAGUGGGUUGCCAGUCCGUGAGGGCGAGCUAAUCCCGCAAAGCCGGUCUCAGUUCGGAUCGGGGUCUGCAACUCGACCCCGUGAAGUCGGAGUCGCUAGUAAUCGCAGAUCAGCAACGCUGCGGUGAAUACUCCCCGCGGGCCUG